ACAUCGUGAUUGGUUGCCGGUUCUUAUAAAUCCAACAUGGCGCUCUACUGGGUGAUCAGUGAGGACGGCCGGUUAUUAAAGUCGUUCAAACCGAUCAAAGUGCAGAUUUUACGGUCUCAUUAAGAAGCGCAGGACGAGUUAGUCCUACUCCGGGCUGAGGAGAGGACUUCCGGUCUUCACUGACUCAGUUUACCGGGUACCUUAGCAGCGGCGGCUAACGUUAGCUCCAGCUCGGCGAACCGACAUGGACCGAGCACCGACCAGGAAGGACCCGUUAAAGGACCGAGCACCGACCAGGAAGGACCCGUUAAAGGUCCAGGAUCAGACUCCACCUCCUCAGGACUCCUGGGACUGAGGGACUAAGGACCAGCUGCUGUGAUGUCAAACCUGCCCUCUGAUUGGCUCUAACAGGACCAGCUGCUGUAAUGUCAUGUGCGUUUGCCACUCUGGAGGAGGAGGCGUGCACGGAGCUGGUGCCCUACCUGAGCUUCAUCCUGGACACUCUGGUGUUUG
Molecule: long non-coding RNA, 513 nt
Organism: Labrus mixtus (cuckoo wrasse)
Lineage: Eukaryota; Metazoa; Chordata; Actinopteri; Labriformes; Labridae
Exons: 4
Source: RefSeq, a predicted model, not a curated record